Molecule: ribosomal RNA, 562 nt
Filed under: uncultured bacterium
Lineage: Bacteria
Description: partial 16S ribosomal RNA
Rfam family: Bacterial small subunit ribosomal RNA
Source: RNAcentral
CGGGGAAUAUUGCACAAUGGGCGAAAGCCUGAUGCAGCAACGCCGCGUGAGUGAUGAAGGCCUUCGGGUUGUAAAGCUCUGUCUUUUGGGACGAUAAUGACGGUACCAAAGGAGGAAGCCACGGCUAACUACGUGCCAGCAGCCGCGGUAAUACGUAGGUGGCAAGCGUUGUCCGGAUUUACUGGGCGUAAAGGAUGCGUAGGCGGAUUUUUAAGUGAGAUGUGAAAACCCUAAGCUUAACUUGGGGACUGCAUUUCAUACUGGAAAUCUAGAGUGCGGGAGAGGAGAAUGGAAUUCCUAGUGUAGCGGUGAAAUGCGUAGAGAUUAGGAAGAACACCAGUGGCGAAGGCGAUUCUCUGGACCGUAACUGACGCUGAGGCAUGAAAGCGUGGGUAGCAAACAGGAUUAGAUACCCUGGUAGUCCACGCCGUAAACGAUGAGUACUAGGUGUAGGAGGUAUCGACCCCUUCUGUGCCGCAGUUAACACAAUAAGUACUCCGCCUGGGAAGUACGAUCGCAAGAUUAAAACUCAAAUGAAUUGACGGGGUCAUAGCUGUUUCCU